Molecule: ribosomal RNA, 497 nt
Filed under: uncultured bacterium
Lineage: Bacteria
Description: partial 16S ribosomal RNA
Rfam family: Bacterial small subunit ribosomal RNA
Source: RNAcentral
GAUGAACGCUGGCGGCGUGCCUAAUACAUGCAAGUCGAGCGAACGGACGAGAAGCUUGCUUCUCUGAUGUUAGCGGCGGACGGGAGAGUAACACGUGGAUAACCUACCUAUAAGACUGGGAUAACUUCGGGAAACCGGAGCUAAUACCGGAUAAUAUUUUGAACCGCAGGGUUCAAAAGUGAAAGACGGUCUUGCUGUCACUUAUAGAUGGAUCCGCGCUGCAUUAGCUAGUUGGUAAGGUAACGGCUUACCAAGGCAACGGUGCAUAGCCGACCUGAGAGGGUGAUCGGCCACACUGGAACUGAGACACGGUCCAGGCUCCUACGGGCGGCAGCAGUAGGGAAUCUUCCGCACUGGGCGAAAGCCUGACGGAGCAACGCCGCGUGAGUGAUGAAGGUCUUCGGGUCGUAUGACUCUGUUCUUAGGGAAGAACAUAUGUGUAAGUAACUGUGCACAUCUUGACGGUACCUAAUCAGAAAGCCACGGCUAACUACGUG